Molecule: long non-coding RNA, 461 nt
Filed under: Nicotiana tabacum (common tobacco)
Lineage: Eukaryota; Viridiplantae; Streptophyta; Magnoliopsida; Solanales; Solanaceae
Description: long non-coding RNA (NTAB_LNC000573)
Source: RNAcentral
CUUUUCAUGACAUGAGUCUACAAAUAUAUACCUGGAAAUGAGGGUAAAAGAGGUAAUAUUUCAGCAACAGCAGCAACAGAAACCCAACAGCAGAAAAAUGCCAAUCAAUUCAGCAGAUUUGAACAAAACCGACAGGAACCGUGAAAACCAGACGAACAGUAGCAGAAAUUUUAAGAAAAUUUCAGAUUUAAUCAAACAGCAUUACCAAACAAACCCGAACAGAUAUAGGGAAACAAUAUUUCUGAUUUUGCUUUCUUUCUUCUCUAUUUUUCUGUUCUGUUUUCUUCUGACUGUGUGUAUGUGUGUGCUUUUUUUUCUGUUUUUCUUUUCUAUCUCUCUUUUCAGAUAAUCUCUCUCUCUCUCUCUCUCUCUCUUUCUAUGUUCUGUAUAUUUCUGUGUGUGUCUCCUUCUGUCUCUCUUUUUUAUUUUUUGUUUUCUGUCUCCCUUCUCUAUCUGUUCUC